This 712-nucleotide ribosomal RNA is filed under the name uncultured bacterium. RNAcentral describes it as "bacterial SSU rRNA". It matches the Rfam family "Bacterial small subunit ribosomal RNA", at positions 117 to 815 of the family's 1533-position model. The record is from RNAcentral.
GUGAGUGACCUGCCUUUUAGACUGGAACAACUUACCGAAAGGUGAGCUAAUGCCGGAUGAGUUAUAUAAGUGCAUGUUUAUAUAGGAAAAGUUGGGGAGACCUGACGCUGAAAGAUGGACUCGCGUCCCAUUAGCUAGUUGGUAGGGUAAUGGCCUACCAAGGCGACGAUGGGUAGCCGGCCUGAGAGGGUGGCCGGCCACACUGGGACUGAGACACGGCCCAGACUCCUACGGGAGGCAGCAGUGGGGAAUUUUGCGCAAUGCUCGUAAGAGUGACGCAGCGACGCCGCGUGAAUGACGAAGGCCUUCGGGUCGUAAAGUUCUUUCGACAGGGAAGAAAAUGCCUAUAAGUAACUGUGUAUGUAUUGACGGUACCUGUAUAAGCAGCCCCGGCUAACUCCGUGCCAGCAGCCGCGGUAAUACGGAGGGGGCGAGCGUUGUUCGGAGUGACUGGGCGUAAAGAGCACGUAGGCGGUGUUGUAAGUCAUUAGUCAAAGACUAGAGCUCAACUUUAGUAAGGCUAGUGGUACUAUAAUACUAGAGUAUCAGAGAGGAUUGCAGAAUUCCUGGUGUAGCGGUGAAAUGCGUAGAUAUCAGGAGGAAUACCGUUAGCGAAGGCGGCAAUCUGGCUGGAAACUGACGCUGAGGUGCGAAAGCGUGGGUAGCAAACAGGAUUAGAUACCCUGGUAGUCCACGCUGUAAACGAUGGAUG